This is a long non-coding RNA of Varroa destructor (honeybee mite), 2071 nucleotides long. The record is from RefSeq and is a predicted model, not a curated record. Lineage: Eukaryota; Metazoa; Arthropoda; Arachnida; Mesostigmata; Varroidae.
UAAUCAAAGGAACGUGUUAGCCCCUGAUGCCGUUAUAAGCAACCAAGCUCAAAGAAUCAUACUCUAUAAUCUUAUUGACGCACUGAUAUAUCAUUUUUCGGCAAAGUUUAGUAGCCUAGUGAAUAAAUACGGGGAAUAUCGAACGUUUAACGAGGUGGAAGCCCUGAAACUACGAAAUGAGUAUUGGUUGGAUAGAUGCGUAAUCAACCAUACGUAUAGCUACUCCGAAACCGAAUUUGUUCUGCCAAAAGGAGAGUUAAGGCAGGCAUAAAAAAAGCAGCCUCUUCCAAGGAAUAUGUUCAUCGACUUCGUGGAAAAAACAGCCAAUCCAAUGCCGUUGAUCGUCGCACACGAGACUGACGACCAAAUGCCACGACCUUCGUGCUGGAGAUACAUUUUAGUGAUAUUAUUUAUAUAUUUACAUCUCUCAGAUGUUCGUUCUAUGGAAGCGUUGAUAAUGCCGUUUAAAUUAUACCUGACGUAUAAUUUGUUUUAUUGAGGGUUCGGUAUGAACGAUCUGCAGGGAUGAAUACGGCAUUACUAUAUUCAUCGCAUCUCUCAUUAAACCGUGAGGAACGUUCUUUCAGCUUCGGCACUUAGCUUCGAUCUAGUACCGUGGCUCCCAGAAGAGGAACAAUGCUUUAAAUGCCUACAAUAUUCAGCUGGUGUAAAGGAUGAGAGACCAAAGCAACGUUCCCAUAAAAUGUCAAAGCCUAGUUAUGUUGUCCAAGGCCAAAUGUGGAGCAUUUUGUUAGAUGUUACCUCAUGCUUCGCUGACCUUGAUUAUUUAGGGUAAUUCAUAUGCGUAUAUUGACGUAUUGCAAUUACUAGCUUGUUGGCAUUUUUAGUGUUUUAUUGUUAGAAUGUUUCGUCUGUUCUGGAGGGCUGGCUUUUCUUUACCUUACAGCCCUGACUAAAUAAAAAUUUAAUUUGGAGAACGUUGCUUGCACUCCAAACAUGAGUUAUAUCGGGUGGCAAAAGAUUUUUUUUUAAGAUAUAUUCUUGUAUUUUCUAUUAGCGUUAAAUAUGCUGCUCGAGCGAUCCGAGCUGGGUUUGUCAUGUACCCACGACUAUAUACGAUAGUGUUAAUAAUUUGACUUAGGAAGGUCGUUAAGGAUCGCUUGGAACAUUUUUCGAAUUAAAAUCGUUGUGAGUUUUCGGCGUCCUUUGAGCAACUCGCUGGCAUCGGCAAAAAUUCACUGUCUGAAAUUCAUUCCUUUUGUACCCGACAAAUACAUAUUUUUGAAGCUCGAACACUGUUUCACGAGCUAAACAAUAAUCAAAAUCAACGGUUUUUUUUUAUGAGUGAAGUAACUUGCUAACGGAAUCAUCAAGAUAUGAGUACAAUCUAGUAAGAGAAACUAUAGACAGUAAUUGACUAAACCUAUACAACAAACAAAAGGUGUAUGGAAUAACUAUGUUAGCUCCGUUCAAAAUCAGUUUCGUAACUGAGGUCAGCGUCGUCUCAAGGUUAUCCAGCCCAGCAGAGCACUUUCAGGUUACUCUAAUAUCGCUGCGUCGUUCUUCCAUAACGAGUGAACGACCAGCGACUUCUCGAAAGUGAUAGUGGGUAAGGUACAAUAUUCCCAGCAAUAAAUCUCGUGUUUCAGCUGAAAUCGAUAAUCGUGUAUUCUGUUGUUGCGGUUCAGCGCAUUCUGACAGUUUUGUGCAGGAAGUCGCUAGUGCCAGUUGACUCAUGUGGAGGCAAAAUUACCACAGAGAAAGCCAAAGCUUUGGUCGAUACGAGGCAGCAAUAAAGCUUCGCUUUUGGAUUACCGCAGUAUGCCGCAAUAAUGAUGGUUUUUCAACUGCCGUCAGAAUUAUGAUAAAGUAACUUACAAACCUUGAACUAUUAGGAGUAUACUGGAGCGGUCAUUGUAGGCCCAGCGGGGAGUCCAUUGAUUAGCAGCUGCCGAAAGGUGCAAUCUCACGCAAAGUCGAAUCACACUUAUCCGCUAUAAACACUCUGGGGCAAUAAUGGACCUUAGAAACUAAUCCUACAACCGCAAGAAUAACGUGGAAAACUCAAACAAAUUUCAAAGGAACAAUCUGCGUGAGAAUCUUAAAACCA